Molecule: ribosomal RNA, 484 nt
Filed under: uncultured bacterium
Lineage: Bacteria
Description: partial 16S ribosomal RNA
Rfam family: Bacterial small subunit ribosomal RNA
Source: RNAcentral
AUUGAACGCUGGCGGCAUGCCUUACACAUGCAAGUCGAACGGCAGCGCGGGCUUCGGCCUGGCGGCGAGUGGCGAACGGGUGAGUAAUGCAUCGGAACGUGCCCAGUAGUGGGGGAUAGCCCGGCGAAAGCCGGAUUAAUACCGCAUACGACCUGAGGGUGAAAGCGGGGGACCGAAAGGCCUCGCGCUAUUGGAGCGGCCGAUGUCGGAUUAGCUAGUUGGUGGGGUAAAGGCUUACCAAGGCGACGAUCCGUAGCUGGUCUGAGAGGACGACCAGCCACACUGGGACUGAGACACGGCCCAGACUCCUACGGGAGGCAGCAGUGGGGAAUUUUGGACAAUGGGGGCAACCCUGAUCCAGCCAUGCCGCGUGCGGGAAGAAGGCCUUCGGGUUGUAAACCGCUUUUGUUCGGGAAGAAAUCCUCUGGGCUAAUACCCCGGGGGGAUGACGGUACCGGAAGAAUAAGCACCGGCUAACUACGUG